UAGGGAAUCUUCCACAAUGGACGCAAGUCUGAUGGAGCAACGCCGCGUGAGUGAAGAAGGUUUUCGGAUCGUAAAGCUCUGUUGUUGGUGAAGAAGGAUAGAGGCAGUAACUGGUCUUUAUUUGACGGUAAUCAACCAGAAGGUCACGGCUAACUACGUGCCAA
RNAcentral lists this ribosomal RNA (164 nucleotides) under uncultured bacterium. RNAcentral's name for it is "partial 16S rRNA". It matches the Rfam family "Bacterial small subunit ribosomal RNA", at positions 355 to 511 of the family's 1533-position model. The record is from RNAcentral.